CUCCCCACGUGCAUCAAUGAGCCUUCGGUACCCAUCAUCCUUGCACACGUUUAGUAGGUACCUCCCACUCCAACAGAAACAUCCCACAAGACUUGCUGGUUUACUGUUGUCAAGCUAUCACUUAGAUCUUUUCGCUUCCAACACAUAAAAUUCAUUAACUGAAUUUAACGCGUAAUAUAUCCUACCCCUUAACAGGUGCCAUUGUAGUGAUAUAAUAAAUGUUAU
This is a non-coding RNA of Pelobates cultripes (western spadefoot toad), 225 nucleotides long. Lineage: Eukaryota; Metazoa; Chordata; Amphibia; Anura; Pelobatidae. The record is from the annotation of a GenBank genome assembly.